UGGCGGCCUUAGCGCGGUGGUCCCACCUGACCCCAUACCGAACUCAGAAGUGAAACGCCGUAGCGCCGAUGGUAGUGUGGGGUCUCCCCAUGCGAGAGUAGGGAACUGCCA
RNAcentral lists this ribosomal RNA (111 nucleotides) under Escherichia coli. The record is from RNAcentral. Lineage: Bacteria; Pseudomonadati; Pseudomonadota; Gammaproteobacteria; Enterobacterales; Enterobacteriaceae.